GACGAACGCUGGCGGCGUGCUUAACACAUGCAAGUCGUACGGUAAGGCCCUUUCGGGGGUACACGAGUGGCGAACGGGUGAGUAACACGUGAGUAACCUGCCCACAACUUUGGGAUAACGCUAGGAAACUGGUGCUAAUACUGGAUAUGUGCUCCUGCUGCAUGGUGGGGGUUGGAAAGCUCCGGCGGUUGUGGAUGGACUCGCGGCCUAUCAGCUUGUUGGUGGGGUAGUGGCCUACCAAGGCGGCGACGGGUAGCCGGCCUGAGAGGGUGACCGGCCACAUUGGGACUGAGAUACGGCCCAGACUCCUACGGGAGGCAGCAGUGGGGAAUAUUGCACAAUGGGCGCAAGCCUGAUGCAGCAACGCCGCGUGCGGGAUGACGGCCUUCGGGUUGUAAACCGCUUUUAGCAGGGACGAAGCUUUUUGUGACGGUACCUGCAGAAGAAGCACCGGCUAACUACGUG
Molecule: ribosomal RNA, 465 nt
Filed under: uncultured bacterium
Lineage: Bacteria
Description: partial 16S ribosomal RNA
Rfam family: Bacterial small subunit ribosomal RNA
Source: RNAcentral